This 442-nucleotide ribosomal RNA is filed under the name uncultured prokaryote. RNAcentral's name for it is "bacterial SSU rRNA". It matches the Rfam family "Bacterial small subunit ribosomal RNA", at positions 355 to 796 of the family's 1533-position model. The record is from RNAcentral.
UCGAGAAUCUUCGGCAAUGGGCGAAAGCCUGACCGAGCAAUGCCGCGUGCGGGAUGAAGGCCCUCGGGUUGUAAACCGCUGUCAGUUGGGAGGAAGGCCCCGUGCAGAGCGGGGCUUGACCUAUCUUCAGAGGAAGUACGGGCUAAGUUCGUGCCAGCAGCCGCGGUAACACGAACCGUACGAACGUUAUUCGGAAUCAUUGGGCUUAAAGGGUGCGUAGGCGGCGCAGUAAGUCGGGUGUGAAAGCCCACGGCUCAACCGUGGAAUUGCGCCCGAUACUGCUGUGCUUGAGGGAGACAGGGGUAAGCGGAACUGAUGGUGGAGCGGUGAAAUGCGUUGAUAUCAUCAGGAACACCAGUGGCGAAAGCGGCUUACUGGGUCUCUUCUGACGCUGAGGCACGAAAGCUAGGGUAGCGAACGGGAUUAGAUACCCCCGUAGUCC